GACGAACGCUGGCGGCGCGCUUAACACAUGCGAGUCGAACGGAAAGGCCUGCUUUCCCUUGUGGAUUGCGGGUACUCGAGUGGCGAACGGGUGAGUAACACGUGAGUGAUCUGCCCCCAACUUGGGUAUAAGCCUGGGAAACUGGGUCUAAUUCCCGAUAGGACUGCAGGGUGGUGCCUGUGGUGGAAAACGAUUUUCUAGUGGUUGGGGAUGAGCUCGCGGCCUAUCAGCUUGUUGGUGGGGUAAUGGCCUACCAAGGCGGCGACGGGUAGCCGGCCUGAGAGGGUGGACGGCCACAUUGGGACUGAGAUACGGCCCAGACGCCUACGGGAGGCAGCAGUGGGGAAUAUUGGACAAUGGGCGGAAGCCUGAUGCAGCGACGCCGCGUGGGGGAUGACGGCCUUCGGGUUGUAAACUCCUUUCGACCGCGAGGAAGCCACCUGGUUGGAAGGGUGGUGACGGUAGUGGUAGAAGAAGCACCGGCUAACUACGUG
This 494-nucleotide ribosomal RNA is filed under the name uncultured bacterium. RNAcentral's name for it is "partial 16S ribosomal RNA". It matches the Rfam family "Bacterial small subunit ribosomal RNA", at positions 28 to 507 of the family's 1533-position model. The record is from RNAcentral.